Molecule: ribosomal RNA, 484 nt
Filed under: uncultured bacterium
Lineage: Bacteria
Description: partial 16S ribosomal RNA
Rfam family: Bacterial small subunit ribosomal RNA
Source: RNAcentral
AUUGAACGCUGGCGGCAUGCUUUACACAUGCAAGUCGAACGGCAGCGCGGGCUUCGGCCUGGCGGCGAGUGGCGAACGGGUGAGUAAUACAUCGGAACGUGCCCAGUAGUGGGGGAUAGCUCGGCGAAAGCCGGAUUAAUACCGCAUACGAUCUGAGGGUGAAAGCGGGGGAUCUUCGGACCUCGCGCUAUUGGAGCGGCCGAUGGCAGAUUAGCUAGUUGGUGGGGUAAAGGCCUACCAAGGCGACGAUCUGUAGCUGGUCUGAGAGGACGACCAGCCACACUGGAACUGGGACACGGCCCAGACUCCUGCGGGAGGCAGCAGUGGGGAAUUUUGGGCAAUGGGCGAAAGCCUGAUCCAGCGAUGCCGCGUGUGUGAUGAAGGCCUUCGGGUUGUAAAGCACUUUUGGCGGGAACGAAAAGGACUGUGCCAAUACCACGGUUCGAUGACGGUACCCGCAGAAUAAGCACCGGCUAACUACGUG